This 531-nucleotide ribosomal RNA is filed under the name Pellucidaspis epiphytidis. RNAcentral describes it as "eukaryotic LSU rRNA". Lineage: Eukaryota; Metazoa; Arthropoda; Insecta; Hemiptera; Diaspididae. The record is from RNAcentral.
AUCUGGACGGCGGAAUUCAGGAUGGUUGGUGGGUUUCGCGCUUGUCCAACCGUUUGAUAUUUCCGUCGUCGUGUCAGACGUCGCGACCUGUUUGUCGUUGGUCCCUGCUCGGAGGAAUCGCGAUCGAGUUCGUUGCAUGGUGCGUCUCGGCGUGCCAUGCGGUGAAGACGCGGCUCUCUGGCCAAUGACGGACAGUAAGCAACGGUGUCCGACGCCGUGUCUCGUACUCGGCGUCGGUGCCGGUCUGCGACGAUUUCUUCGGGCCUCUUUCCGACCCGUCUUGAAACACGGACCAAGGAGUCUAACAUGCGCGCGAGUCGCGGGGUUUCGAGCGUACUACGGUGCGCUCGUUACUUGCGAAACCCGUACGUUGAAGGCGUAAUGAAAGUGAAAAGGGAAGAUGGCGUUCCGAGUCCACGUACCGUGAUCGAGUGUCGCGGCCGGACGUCCGCACUCCCGGGGCGUCUUAAUAGCUCGUCGCGGAUGCGGAUGGUCGUCCCUCGGGGCGAUCGUCGGUCUGCGACGAACGGA